This 498-nucleotide ribosomal RNA is filed under the name uncultured bacterium. RNAcentral's name for it is "partial 16S ribosomal RNA". It matches the Rfam family "Bacterial small subunit ribosomal RNA", at positions 28 to 507 of the family's 1533-position model. The record is from RNAcentral.
GAUGAACGCUGGCGGCGUGCCUAAUACAUGCCAGUCGAGCGGACGGACGGGAGGUUUCUCCCUGUCCGUCUGGCGAGGGCCGGAUGGGUACACGUUGGCUACCUGCCUGCUAGACCGGGGGUAAUCACGGAAACCGGGGGUAACUCCGGAUAACUCUUUCCCUCCGAUGAGAGCAAGCUAAAAGAUGGCAUUUCGCUAUCACUUUCGCCGGAGCCCGCGGCGCUUUAGCUAGUUGGAAAGGUAACGGCUCACCAAGGCCACGAUGCGUAGCAGACCUGAGAGGGUGAUCGGCCACACUGGAACUGAGACACGGCCCAGACUCCUACGGGAGGCAGCAGUAGGGAAUCUUCCGCAAUGGACGAAAGUCUGACGGAGCAACGCCGCGUGAGUGAUGAAGGUCUUCGGAUCGUAAAACUCUGUUGUUAGGGAAGAACAAGUGCCGGAGUAACUGCCGAUGUCUUGACGGUACCUAACCAGAAAGCCACGGCUAACUACGUG